This 339-nucleotide transfer-messenger RNA is filed under the name Bacillus sp. BGMRC 2118. It matches the Rfam family "transfer-messenger RNA". From Rfam's summary of the family: Bacterial tmRNA, also known as 10Sa RNA or SsrA, is named for its dual tRNA and mRNA-like properties. Its role is to liberate the mRNA from a stalled ribosome. The record is from RNAcentral. Lineage: Bacteria; Bacillati; Bacillota; Bacilli; Caryophanales; Bacillaceae.
UACGGAUUCGACAGGGAUAGUUCGAGCUUAGGUUGCGAGUCGAGGGGAUCGGCCUCGUAAAAACGUCAAAGCCAAUAACUGGCAAAACAAACAACAACUUCGCUUUAGCUGCUUAAUAACAGUCUAUAGCGGUUCCUCCCUCCAUCGCCCAUGUGGUAGGGUAAGGGACUCACUCUAAGUGGGCUACGCCGGAGUUCGCCGUCUGAGGACAAAGGAAGAGAACAACCAGACUAGCUACCUUAAAGCCUGUCGAUAGGCCAAGAGGUUAGCGAAUCGCUAAUAUAUCGACUACACUCGUAGAAGCUUAAGUGCCGUUAUGUCUGGACGUGGGUUCGAUUA